GUGGGGAAUAUUGGACAAUGGGCGCAAGCCUGAUCCAGCCAUGCCGCGUGAGUGAUGAAGGCCUUAGGGUUGUAAAGCUCUUUCGUCAGGGAAGAUAAUGACGGUACCUGAAGAAGAAGCCCCGGCUAACUUCGUGCCAGCAGCCGCGGUAAUACGAAGGGGGCUAGCGUUGCUCGGAAUCACUGGGCGUAAAGCGCACGUAGGCGGCUUUCUAAGUCAGGGGUGAAAUCCUGGAGCUCAAAUACAGAACUGCCUUUGAUACUGGAGAGCUUGAGUUCGGGAGAGGUGAGUGGAACUGCGAGUGUAGAGGUGAAAUUCGUAGAUAUUCGCAAGAACACCAGUGGCGAAGGCGGCUCACUGGCCCGAUACUGACGCUGAGGUGCGAAAGCGUGGGGAGCAAACAGGAUUAGAUACCCCAGUAGUCC
Molecule: ribosomal RNA, 425 nt
Filed under: uncultured bacterium
Lineage: Bacteria
Description: partial 16S ribosomal RNA
Rfam family: Bacterial small subunit ribosomal RNA
Source: RNAcentral